RNAcentral lists this transfer RNA (71 nucleotides) under Loxodonta africana (African savanna elephant). It matches the Rfam family "tRNA". Rfam says of the family: Transfer RNA (tRNA) molecules are approximately 80 nucleotides in length. Their secondary structure includes four short double-helical elements and three loops (D, anti-codon, and T loops). Further hydrogen bonds mediate the characteristic L-shaped molecular structure. tRNAs have two regions of fundamental functional importance: the anti-codon, which is responsible for specific mRNA codon recognition, and the 3' end, to which the tRNAs corresponding amino acid is attached (by aminoacyl-tRNA synthetases). tRNAs cope with the degeneracy of the genetic code in two manners: having more than one tRNA (with a specific anti-codon) for a particular amino acid; and 'wobble' base-pairing, i.e. permitting non-standard base-pairing at the 3rd anti-codon position. The record is from Rfam by way of RNAcentral. Lineage: Eukaryota; Metazoa; Chordata; Mammalia; Proboscidea; Elephantidae.
GGUUUGGUGGUUGGGUGGUAGAAUUCUUGUUUUUCACCCAGGAGACCCGGGUUCAGUUCCCAGCCUGUCCA